This is a long non-coding RNA of Telopea speciosissima, 231 nucleotides long. RefSeq lists it as uncharacterized. The record is from RefSeq and is a predicted model, not a curated record. NCBI's taxonomy places the organism in Eukaryota, Viridiplantae, Streptophyta, Magnoliopsida, Proteales, Proteaceae. The transcript has 3 exons.
UAGGUGAGAGUUGUAUGCUGCAAGAAGAUGCAUCAAAUUUCCCAGCUUUAUCUGUUAGCAGCAUAAUUGUAGACCCAUCCAGAAAGUAUGACGUUUCAGUUUCCUCAAAUAUGAACAUAUUCUAGAAGUAAUAAUUGUGGUAAAUGGGAUCCUAAUUUAGACUAUGACACAUACAAGAGUAACCCCACGAUCCAAAAUACAAAGCUAGAAUACAUUAACACUGGAUAAAUC